Molecule: ribosomal RNA, 458 nt
Filed under: uncultured bacterium
Lineage: Bacteria
Description: partial 16S ribosomal RNA
Rfam family: Bacterial small subunit ribosomal RNA
Source: RNAcentral
CCUACGGGAGGCAGCAGUGAGGAAUAUUGGUCAAUGGCCGGAAGGCUGAACCAGCCAUGCCGCGUGAAGGUCAGUGCCCUAUGGGCGUUAAACUUCUUUUGUGCGGGAGCAAUAAUGGUCACGUGUGGCCAGACGAGAGUACCGUACGAAUAAGCAUCGGCUAACUCCGUGCCAGCAGCCGCGGUAAUACGGGGGAUGCAAGCGUUAUCCGGAUUUAUUGGGUUUAAAGGGUGCGUAGGCGGAUCGUUAAGUCAGUGGUCAAAUUGAGGGGCUCAACCCCUUCCCGCCAUUGAAACUGGCGCUCUUGAGUGGAAGAGAAGUAUGCGGAAUGCGUGGUGUAGCGGUGAAAUGCAUAGAUAUCACGCAGAACCCCGAUUGCGAAGGCAGCAUGCCGGCUUCCGACUGACGCUGAAGCACGAAAGCGUGGGGAUCGAACAGGAUUAGAUACCCUUGUAGUC